RNAcentral lists this ribosomal RNA (52 nucleotides) under Trichoderma koningiopsis. Its description in RNAcentral is "partial 28S ribosomal RNA". The record is from RNAcentral. Lineage: Eukaryota; Fungi; Ascomycota; Sordariomycetes; Hypocreales; Hypocreaceae.
AAUGUUGACCUCGGAUCAGGUAGGAAUACCCGCUGAACUUAAGCAUAUCAAA